GUUGACAUUUCACCUCAUUCGCCGGGAUAACGCAAAUGUUGCUUUGAAGUGCCGCAAACAUGCGAAUCCUUAAAGGAUCCUCCACUUCGUCGGUUUCCCUGGAAAUCCAUCAGC
Molecule: non-coding RNA, 114 nt
Organism: Drosophila ficusphila
Lineage: Eukaryota; Metazoa; Arthropoda; Insecta; Diptera; Drosophilidae
Source: Rfam